RNAcentral lists this unclassified non-coding RNA (324 nucleotides) under Alternaria solani. RNAcentral describes it as "sequence contains ITS1, 5.8S rRNA gene". The stretch from base 173 to 324 matches the Rfam family "5.8S ribosomal RNA". Lineage: Eukaryota; Fungi; Ascomycota; Dothideomycetes; Pleosporales; Pleosporaceae. The record is from RNAcentral.
GNUUUCAGUAGUCAGACGAUCAGGCACCUCUACGGAGGUUACACGCCUAUGCUGAAUGUAUUCACCCUUGUCUUUUGCGUACUUCUUGUUUCCUUGGUGGGUUCGCCCACCACUAGGACAAACAUAAACCUUUUGUAAUUGCAAUCAGCGUCAGUAACAAAUUAAUAAUUACAACUUUCAACAACGGAUCUCUUGGUUCUGGCAUCGAUGAAGAACGCAGCGAAAUGCGAUAAGUAGUGUGAAUUGCAGAAUUCAGUGAAUCAUCGAAUCUUUGAACGCACAUUGCGCCCUUUGGUAUUCCAAAGGGNCNAUGCCUGUUCGAGG